GUCAUGGGCGCAGCUGAUGCAGCGACGCCGCGUGAGUGAUGAGGUCUUCGGGUUGUAAGCUCUGUCGUUAGGGACGAUAAUGACAGUACCUGUAGAGGAAGCUACUGCUGACUCCGUGACAGCAGCCGCGGUAAUACUACAUGCCAUCAUACGCGGUAAUA
Molecule: ribosomal RNA, 161 nt
Filed under: uncultured bacterium
Lineage: Bacteria
Description: partial 16S ribosomal RNA
Rfam family: Bacterial small subunit ribosomal RNA
Source: RNAcentral